This 557-nucleotide ribosomal RNA is filed under the name Travisia brevis. Its description in RNAcentral is "partial 16S ribosomal RNA". It matches the Rfam family "Bacterial large subunit ribosomal RNA", at positions 1794 to 2612 of the family's 2925-position model. The record is from RNAcentral. Lineage: Eukaryota; Metazoa; Annelida; Polychaeta; Opheliidae.
UUGCGCCUGGUUUAACAAAAACAUUGCCUUUUGUCUAAUAUAUAAAAGGUUCAUCCUGCCCAGUGACAAAUUUUUUGUUCAACGGCCGCGGUACCCUGACCGUGCAAAGGUAGCAUAAUCAUUCGCCUUUUAAUUGAAGGCUAGUAUGAAUGGAUAAACGAAGGCCCAUCUGUCUCUAAAGUAAUAAUUAUAAAUUAUCCUUCAGGUGAAGAGACCUGAAUAUAAAAAAAGGACAAGAAGACCCUGUUGAGCUUUAUUUUUGUUUAUUAAUUUAUAACAACUUCUAAGCACACACUAUUAAUCUACAAAAUUCAGUUGGGGCGACUAGGGAACACCUAAAACUUCCCUUUAAUUCUAAGAUUACCAAAUCUUUACUCUGAUCCAAAUAACUUGAUCAAAGAAUCGAGCUACCACAGGGAUAACAGGCUAAUCCUCCUUAAGAGCCCAUAUUGACAGGAGGGAUUGGCACCUCGAUGUUGGCUUAGGGCCCCCGAUAAGCGCAGCCGCUUUUAAUGGUAGGUUUGUUCAACCUUUAAAGCCCUACGUGAUCUGAGUUC